GGCUUUUUCGAUAACGCCUCGUUCGAUUCGACCACUUUACCACUCACAGGACUCGCGAUCUCCGAUGCUGCCUUCACGGACUCAAGGGCCCCGCACUCGUCUGGAAUAUGGAACAAAUUUCAAUUUCGUCGAUACCAAGAAUUUCGUCGAUCUGCUCGAAGCCUUUCUGGAGUUAAUAUUUUAAUACGUGAAUUUUAGUACGUGGACGAAAUUUGAGACAGUUUUGCAUUCGAGGAAAUAAGUGUUGUAAGAGAUUUGUAAAAUUUACCAUCUUUUUCAAUCGAAGCUCCAACUUCGGGCAAUUGAGCAAAAACAACGUCGCCGAGCGCAUCCUGAGCAUAAUCCGAGAUUCCUACCGUACCAACUUUGUCCUUGACCUCGAUCCACUCGUGACUGCUGGUGUACCAUCGUUCUAUAAAUUAAAAAUACAAUGAGUUUGUUAAACGAAAAA
Molecule: long non-coding RNA, 451 nt
Organism: Venturia canescens
Lineage: Eukaryota; Metazoa; Arthropoda; Insecta; Hymenoptera; Ichneumonidae
Exons: 3
Source: RefSeq, a predicted model, not a curated record